CUGAAUAACUUUGCUGAUCACACGGUCCUAGCACCGGUGACAUAUCUUUCAAGUGUCUGCCCUAUCAACUUUCGAUGGUAGUUUAUGUGCCUACCAUGGUUGUAACGGGUAACGGAGAAUAAGGGUUCGACUCCGGAGAGGGAGCCUGAGAAAUGGCUACCACAUCCAAGGAAGGCAGCAGGCGCGCAAAUUACCCACUCUCAGUACGAGGAGGUAGUGACGAAAAAUAACGAGACGGUUCUCUAUGAGGCCCGUCAUCGGAAUGGGUACAAUUUAAACCCUUUAACGAGGAUCUAUUGGAGGGCAAGUCUGGUGCCAGCAGCCGCGGUAAUUCCAGCUCCAAUAGCAUAUACCAAUUCUGUUGCUGUUAAAAA
This 374-nucleotide ribosomal RNA is filed under the name Nematoda sp. RNAcentral describes it as "SSU rRNA". It matches the Rfam family "Eukaryotic small subunit ribosomal RNA", at positions 252 to 625 of the family's 1831-position model. Lineage: Eukaryota; Metazoa; Nematoda. The record is from RNAcentral.